Non-coding RNA from Podarcis muralis (Common wall lizard), 728 nucleotides. Lineage: Eukaryota; Metazoa; Chordata; Lepidosauria; Squamata; Lacertidae. The record is from RefSeq and is a predicted model, not a curated record.
CAAACGUCUACGUCACUCUCCUUUGAUCACACCCCCUCCCUCCCUUCCAGGAAGAACGAAACUACAUUUCCCAGGAUGCUCCUUGAUUUUUGACGUCAUCGAGGGAAAAAAUGUGCCCGAACCUGAAAGGGAGAAUUGCGAGGCAUCAAAGGCCAAGAGCUCCUCAGCCUCCUCCUGUCUAAGGCGGAGGCAAAGCGCAAUCUUUCCAGUGUGACUGCGUUGGUUGGAGCUGGGAGAAGGAAGAGAAAGUCAUUGGGCGCGGGAAUCUGCCACUCAAAGGGAGGAAGAGCGAAGGGACUCGCGAGGUCCGGUUUCCGUAGUAGCGACGGCGAGGCUUUGCUGAACCAGACAGGAUCUCUGCGGUUUGCCAGGCAGCCCUUCCCUGUGGAGCUUUGCCAUCUUCGCAGGAAGGGAAGGAAUUGCGUUGGUUGCUUUCUCCACGGAGAUGACUGAAAUCAGCCUGAAGUGCUGCAUGGGGGACUUAUGAGGCUGUGCAGCGUCGAGGCAAAGCACCUAAAACCGGGCGAGGCCGGGGUGGUGGGUGGGGGUUAUGAAUCGUGCGAGCGUCGCCAACAAGACUGGAAGAAAAACAACCGGAUUUCUGCGUUUGUGUCCGAUUCCAUAUUUGAAACCUUCUUUGCCUUUAUGCGCAUAGAUGCCUCUUUUGUUCUUCACGGUAAUACGUAACUUACUGGGUUUUUUUAUAAUAAAACGUACGCAAAAACGUC